UGGAUGACCUUUGCACUGGCAUCUCGUGU
Molecule: non-coding RNA, 29 nt
Filed under: Rattus norvegicus (Norway rat)
Lineage: Eukaryota; Metazoa; Chordata; Mammalia; Rodentia; Muridae
Source: RNAcentral